This 1232-nucleotide long non-coding RNA is filed under the name Homo sapiens (human). Its description in RNAcentral is "HSALNT0400889". Lineage: Eukaryota; Metazoa; Chordata; Mammalia; Primates; Hominidae. The record is from RNAcentral.
AUUUCCGCCGGCGCGAAACGAGCGUAGCUUCCUUGUCGUGUGGCCUCAGUCCUUCGCCGUCCCUCGCCGUCCUUCGCCAUCGCACGCCACCGCACCCCAUCUCUCGAAAUCUGCAGACAUCUUGAUUUUUCCCACGCUGUCUGUCAGGUCUCCGCCGCCACUCGACGCCAGGGCGCCGGGCCUUGUGGGCUGUGCUGCACCUCGGACGGCUUCGCACCAGCCAGCGCCCUCUCUCUCCUGCAGCACUCUGAUCUGCACCCCCUGAGGGGCUUCCACUGUCCGCGGGGUGAGAAUGCCCCUGGGAGUGUCACAUGACUGCCGCCCCAUGUGUGUGAGAGGCGUCCUCUGGGAGAGCAUGGAUCCUGAGGUCCCAGGAUUGUCAGCUGACCUCUGUCCUGUGUGCCCAGUGGCCCCAGGUGACGUGUCUUCAAGAAGAGGCUGAGCUGCGGUGCUUGUAAGGGUCUCAUUCUGUCACCCAGGCUGGAGUGCAGUGGUGCAAUGAUGGCUCACUGCAGCCUCGACCUGGGCUCAAGUGAUCCUCCACCUCAGCUUCCUGAGUAGCUGGGACCACAGAGUCAUGUGCUGUUCCUGGGGCUUGGAUGAUGUAGGGGAAGCAAGGUGAAAGUGGUAUCCCGUGGUUCCACGUUCUGUCCUGCUGUGGGGCUGUCCCUCACAUGCUUUCAGUGGCUGUUGCAGAGGAAGAGCCUCCGGAAAUCUGCGUGGGUAAAGUCUCAGCCUUAGAUCCAAGGACAGUCCAAGGAAGUCCUAAGACCAUGGAGUUGGUGAUCUGGGAUCUGGGUUUGCUGAUAUUUCUCACCGUGAAUCUCUUGGUGGUGUUUGUGGGCACGAGAGGGGCAGAGAAUGGAGAGUGAGGCUACCACAUGAAGCGUCACCAGAGCUGCUCCCUGCUGCCUGCUCAGAGCACCCCGGAUCCACUGUUCAAUCUGCACAAGAUUCGGGGUCCAGACAUGGGAGACUUCAGCUGCCUCAGAGGACCGUGGACAGGGAAGGCCAGCCUCGCAUCCCUCUGUCCAUGCCUGGAAUGACUUUAAUAACCAAGAGUUUUAUUUUUGAAUUUGUAGCUGUCGUUCACUUUUUACCCACCCAUUCAAUAAACCUUACAGAAUUGCUCCAUGUGCUUCUUAAAUCAGUGACAACCUGUGAGCCUGCCAGGCUGGCUUUGGAGAAGAGGGAGGAAUCUACACAUGUCCCAGGGGCCAUGGUGAAAAGGU